RNAcentral lists this unclassified non-coding RNA (265 nucleotides) under Hevea brasiliensis (rubber tree). The record is from RNAcentral. Lineage: Eukaryota; Viridiplantae; Streptophyta; Magnoliopsida; Malpighiales; Euphorbiaceae.
CCCGUCGUUCUCUGUCACAUUUGCUACAGCAAACGGGGAGGGGGGCGGUGAGGAGGGGGCGUCGACGGUGACGCACUUGAGGACGUUGACGAAUGUUGGGAUGCCGGGGACUUAUAAGGCGGAAACAACUUUGUCAUCGACCUCAUCGACGGUGAAAGUCGCAGUGGAGCCGACUGAGCUGAAGUUUACUAAGCAGGGGGAGAAACUCAGCUACAAGGUGAGCUUCUCGUCGGUGUCGCAGCCGUCGGGGUCGUUGGAGUUUGGG